GACGAACGCUGGCGGCGUGCUUAACACAUGCAAGUCGAACGAUGAAGCCGGAGCUUGCUCUGGUGAAUUAGUGGCGAACGGGUGAGUAACACGUGCGUAACCCGCCCUUGACUCUGGGAUAACUGCGGGAAACUGUAGCUAAUACCGGAUACGACCCUCGGAGGCAUCUCCUGGGGGUGGAAAGAAUUUCGGUCAAGGAUGGACUCGCGGCCUAUCAGCUAGUUGGUGAGGUAAAGGCUCACCAAGGCGACGACGGGUAGCCGGCCUGAGAGGGUGACCGGCCACACUGGGACUGAGACACGGCCCAGACUCCUACGGGAGGCAGCAGUGGGGAAUAUUGCACAAUGGGCGCAAGCCUGAUGCAGCAACGCCGCGUGAGGGAUGACGGCCUUCGGGUUGUAAACCUCUUUUAGCAGGGAAGAAGCGAAAGUGACGGUACCUGCAGAAAAAGCACCGGCUAACUACGUGCCAGCAGCCGCCGUAA
RNAcentral lists this ribosomal RNA (484 nucleotides) under uncultured bacterium. Its description in RNAcentral is "partial 16S ribosomal RNA". It matches the Rfam family "Bacterial small subunit ribosomal RNA", at positions 28 to 523 of the family's 1533-position model. The record is from RNAcentral.